AACGAACGCUGGCGGCAGGCCUAACACAUGCAAGUCGAGCGAGAUCUUCGGAUCUAGCGGCGGACGGGUGAGUAACGCGUGGGAACGUACCCUUUGCUACGGAAUAGCCUCGGGAAACUGGGAGUAAUACCGUAUGUGCCCUUCGGGGAAGGAUUAUCGGCAAGGAUCGGCCCGCCGUUGGAUAGGUAGUUGGUGGGGUAAUGGCCUACCAAGCCGACGAUCCAUAGCUGGUUUGAGAGGAUGAUCAGCCACACUGGGACUGAGACACGGCCCAGACUCCUACGGGAGGCAGCAGUUAAGAAAUCUUGCUCAAAUGGGGGGAAACCCGUAGAAGCAGCGACGCCGCGUGAACG
RNAcentral lists this ribosomal RNA (353 nucleotides) under uncultured bacterium. RNAcentral describes it as "bacterial SSU rRNA". It matches the Rfam family "Bacterial small subunit ribosomal RNA", at positions 29 to 407 of the family's 1533-position model. The record is from RNAcentral.